This 68-nucleotide transfer RNA is filed under the name Marmota monax (woodchuck). RNAcentral describes it as "tRNA.Ala". The record is from RNAcentral. Lineage: Eukaryota; Metazoa; Chordata; Mammalia; Rodentia; Sciuridae.
GGAUUGUGGCUCAGUGGUAGAGUGCUUGCCUAGCAUGUGUGAGGCACUGGGUCUGAUUCUCAGCACCA